CUCUAGCGGCAGCGGCGGUGGCAAUAUCAGUUUCUUUUUCCAGGGCUUCCAAGUCUGAAGCUGUCUCCCGGCCGGCCACGGAGUGUUCUGAUGUGGACUGGGCGGAGGAAGAACUCCGGUCCAGUGGAGUCCCUGGUGAGGUCGGAGCAUCCGACCUGCCCUCCCUCCCCAGGUCACCUCGCAGGAUUAAGGACAGUGCGGCCAGAUCGAGGGUGGAGUCUGCAGGAUUUUGAAACUGCAGCCCCUGGCAUGGCGCCCUAACAGAGCCUCUGCUCCUUGCCUGCAGUGUCUCCACUACCAUAGAUCCCUUCUGGGACAUCAGCUUGGAUCUGUCCAGCCGUUCCACCCCAUUCUGGCCCCUGAGCCCAGGGGGCGAGGGCAGCAUGGUGAACAAGGAAAGCCACGUGUCUGGCAACCACCACAAUCAUGGACUGCCUCGAAGGUGAGAAGCCUGCCUGCACCCACAUGGAAGGGGCUCAUCUUCCUGGCGGGAAGGCUGUACUUGAUGAGAACCAAAAGAGGGCUUUUCUUUUACAUGCCCAGGACAGAGCCUGAGCAAAGAUGCAGCACUAGCCUGGGUUGGCUAGUUUGUCUUCUGUUUUGGCCUGUCACUCAAUAUUUCUGUUCCCCAGCUUUGCACAGUGCUGGGUGUUGGUGUCAGCAGCUGAUAUUCCAACCUCCUCAUGUAAAUGAGUUGAGAGCCAAACUGGAUGCUCCUUUAGCUUUUGUAGUAAACACCAACCCUGGAGUGUGAGCUGAGAAAUGUCCAGCUCUCUCCCUGUGGUCCACAGCCUUCUCUGCACGUGAUUAAAACUUAGUUGUGAUGUUCUGUGCUUAGGGCCAUUUUUGAAAUUGUUCAUUUACUGCUUUAUUUGGGAUAAGUAAUAAGAUUUAGGAAGUGUUUUUUUUUUUUUUUUAAUGUAUUUAAGUAGCUGUAGCAUACAAUUGUAAAAGGAGCAGAAAACCUUCCUAAACUUUGUGUAGUGUUUUAUAGUCCUUGUUUUAUUUGCAUUAAUUAAAGGUAAUACAGAAGAGUCCUUGUUGAGUGGAAGUAUUCCUUGGAAGAGGUAUAAGCUUUUGGUUUCUGUCUGACUGCAUAGUCAACAGGACCAAAGUUGCAUGUUUAUUUUAUUUUUUGAGAUAGGGUCUUGCUCUGUUGCACAGGCUGGAGUGCAGGGCAUGAUCAUAGCUCACUGCAGCCUCAAUCUCUUGGGCUCACACCAUCCUCUUGCCUCAGCCUCCCCAGUAGUUGGGACCACAGGUGCGUGCCACCAUGCCCAGAUAAUUCUGUGAUUAAAAAAAUUUUUCUUUUUUUUUGGUUGAGACAGAGUCUUGCCACAUUGCUAAGGCUGGCCUUUGAACUUCUGAGCUCAAGUGAUCUUUUCAGCAUAGCCUCCCAAAAUGCUGGUAUUACAGACAUGAGCCACUGUGCCCUGCCAAAAGUUUGCAUGUUUAGAAUUUUGAAAGCAUCAACUUUGUAACACUAAGUCCACAUAAUAAAAUGGGGUAUCACAUUUUUAAUUCA
Molecule: long non-coding RNA, 1525 nt
Organism: Piliocolobus tephrosceles (Ugandan red Colobus)
Lineage: Eukaryota; Metazoa; Chordata; Mammalia; Primates; Cercopithecidae
Source: Ensembl